This 465-nucleotide ribosomal RNA is filed under the name uncultured bacterium. Its description in RNAcentral is "partial 16S ribosomal RNA". It matches the Rfam family "Bacterial small subunit ribosomal RNA", at positions 329 to 792 of the family's 1533-position model. The record is from RNAcentral.
GCCCAGACUCCUACGGGAGGCAGCAGUGAGGAAUAUUGGUCAAUGGGCGCUAGCCUGAACCAGCCAAGUAGCGUGAAGGAUGACUGCCCUAUGGGUUGUAAACUUCUUUUAUAUGGGAAUAAAGUGCAGUAUGUAUACUGCUUUGCAUGUACCUUAUGAAUAAGGAUCGGCUAACUCCGUGCCAGCAGCCGCGGUAAUACGGAGGAUCCGAGCGUUAUCCGGAUUUAUUGGGUUUAAAGGGUGCGUAGGCGGGCUUUUAAGUCAGCGGUAAAAAUUCGGGGCUCAACCCCGUCCGGCCGUUGAAACUGGGGGCCUUGAGUGGGCGAGAAGAAGGCGGAAUGCGUGGUGUAGCGGUGAAAUGCAUAGAUAUCACGCAGAACCCCGAUUGCGAAGGCAGCCUUCCGGCGCCCUACUGACGCUGAGGCACGAAAGUGCGGGGAUCGAACAGGAUUAGAUACCCGGGUA